This 234-nucleotide long non-coding RNA is filed under the name Lathyrus oleraceus (garden pea). RNAcentral describes it as "Pisum sativum (pea) long non-coding RNA (PSAT_LNC002385)". Lineage: Eukaryota; Viridiplantae; Streptophyta; Magnoliopsida; Fabales; Fabaceae. The record is from RNAcentral.
AAUCACAACCUGACACACUCAUUUUUCAAAUUCUAGCGUUUGACGCCUAUUUCUCUUUAUUUUAUUUUCAUUUUAUUUACUUUUUGAUUUCUUAUUUAAUUCUGAUUGGUCCUUAAUUCAUUUUUCAUCCAAUUUUUUUACAAAAAGUCCAUAAAACUAUUUUGCAUCUCAUAUAUUUUUUCAGAAUUUUUAAAAUCAUUUUAGUAUUUAAUUGCUAUUUUACUCUCUUUUCUU